ACGGGAGGCAGCAGUGGGGGAUAUUGCACAAUGGAGGAAACUCUGAUGCAGCAACGCCGCGUGAGGGAUGAAGGUCUUCGGAUUGUAAACCUCUGUCCUUAGUGAAGAAUUUUUGACGGUAACUUUGGAGGAAGCUCCGGCUAACUACGUGCCAGCAGCCGCGGUAAUACGUAGGGAGCUAGCGUUGUCCGGAUUUAUUGGGUGUAAAGGGUGCGUAGGCGGCUUUGCAAGUCAGGCGUGUAAUCCAGAGGCUUAACCUCUGAACUGCGCUUGAAACUGCUUGGCUUGAGUGGAGUAGAGGCAGAUGGAAUUUCCAGUGUAGCGGUGAAAUGCGUAGAUAUUGGAAGGAACACCAGUGGCGAAGGCGAUCUGCUGGGCUCUUACUGACGCUGAGGCACGAAAGCAUGGGGAGCAAACAGGAUUAGAUACCCUGGUA
This 436-nucleotide ribosomal RNA is filed under the name uncultured Clostridium sp. RNAcentral's name for it is "partial 16S ribosomal RNA". It matches the Rfam family "Bacterial small subunit ribosomal RNA", at positions 341 to 792 of the family's 1533-position model. RNAcentral also lists the same sequence under 2 other names. The record is from RNAcentral. Lineage: Bacteria; Bacillati; Bacillota; Clostridia; Eubacteriales; Clostridiaceae.